RNAcentral lists this transfer RNA (67 nucleotides) under Setodes brevicaudatus. Its description in RNAcentral is "tRNA-Ile". The record is from RNAcentral. Lineage: Eukaryota; Metazoa; Arthropoda; Insecta; Trichoptera; Leptoceridae.
AAUAAAGUGCCUGAUAAAAGGAUUAUUUUGAUAGAAUAAAUUAUAUAAUUUAUGAUUAUCUUUAUUA